RNAcentral lists this long non-coding RNA (623 nucleotides) under Rattus norvegicus (Norway rat). RNAcentral's name for it is "long non-coding RNA NONRATT012623". The record is from RNAcentral. Lineage: Eukaryota; Metazoa; Chordata; Mammalia; Rodentia; Muridae.
ACUUUCGCACCCCUCUGUCCCACAAGGAGGGACCAGAAUGGGUUUUGCACAACCUGGCCCGGUGCGAUCCCCGCACCACCCACGGGACGCAAUACCUACUCCCGGAUCUCGGCCGCAGGGAGACAGUGACGGUGGGAACAGUUUGCGGAGGCGUGCAGGAGCCAAGGACACCUCAGCCCCCAGUGAGACGUUUGAAAACCCAACUUAACCCCGCUCUCCAUUCUCAGCGACUCCCAUCUUUUCUUCAUUCUAUUGUUUAAGCGUAGCUGGGCAUUUCAUUGGAGUCCCAGUGAAAUAUGCAAAUGCCCUGUGAAAGUUUCUUGAAUAUUUGAUAGGUAUUUUGGGGAGGGGGAGUUUAUGUUACUCGGUUAUAUCAUUCGUACUUCCCUGUCCAAGUAAAUAUGGCAGACUCAUCCUGUGUGUUUAAAUUGGUAUUGGUGAUGCGGUUUCACUUCAUGAAGUAACUUCAGAUUUCUGACUCUGUAUCGCAUUGCCGGUACAGAGUGCGUCCAUUCGACUGAGCAAACUUGGUUUGGACUAGGUUCCCAUUUCCCCAACUAUUUGAGAGCAGAAUUGGAGGUGUUAGCCGAACUGGGCUUUUAUGACUGUUCUUAGGUUUACAC